UUAAAUUGAAGAGUUUGAUCAUGGCUCAGAUUGAACGCUGGCGGCAGGCCUAACACAUGCAAGUCGAGCGGUAGAGAGAAGCUUGCUUCUCUUGAGAGCGGCGGACGGGUGAGUAAUGCCUAGGAAUCUGCCUGAUGGAGGGGGAUAACGUUCGGAAACGGACGCUAAUACCGCAUACGUCCUACGGGAGAAAGCGGGGGACCUUCGGGCCUCGCGCCAUUAGAU
Molecule: ribosomal RNA, 225 nt
Filed under: Myxococcus sp. AM001
Lineage: Bacteria; Pseudomonadati; Myxococcota; Myxococcia; Myxococcales; Myxococcaceae
Description: partial 16S ribosomal RNA
Rfam family: Bacterial small subunit ribosomal RNA
Source: RNAcentral